GUUCUGACGUAUGCCCGUGAGGAAGGAGUAGGGGAAGAACAGCCCAGAAAACCAGAAUACGUCGGGGAUUUUCUCGUCCGCCCACCGCUGGAAGAACUUUAGCCUGAAGGAAUGCAUAAUAAGCUGCCGCCGCUGGCUACCUCUGAUGACGAACAAAGAAGCAACCUUCUGUAAGUCUUCCCCUACCAGUACACAGCCUCUUCACCAUCAAAACUCCUGCUGUGCCUCCUCGUGGCAACACAUGAUAACUAGGUGCCUCGUGGGGCCAGGCUAGACCAGCAGGGGAUCUCGGAGCAGCAGUGGGCCCCAGAGGGACAGCACAUAGACCGACAGGCAUGUGGACAUGUCCUGGUGCCUACUAACCACUGCCUUGCAGAUUAACCUUGGUAGGUAUAAGACUACGGGUGUAAACCCUAAGCGAAAAAUCUGAAGCGGAGACAUGCUUACAGAACUCCAGUAAGACCCCAAUGGCAGUGUAGGUGGAAGAGAUAACCAACAAGGGAACCCAAUGACUACACCAGCAGAUGAAGGCAAUGCAAAAUGGACAGGCUAAUAAGGCAAAACCCAACAAACUGGGCUAUUGGCAGUCCAUUGCAACUCUCCUCCCCAUUCGUUGCAACUACCUGCACCACUGGACCAGGACAAGGGAGAGCCAUGGUGUGUGGUUGCAGUCUGUGCUCUUGCCUCACCACAUAAAUCAACUCAUGCACAGCCAUCACUUACUACUACUCAUCAUACUCGAUUCUGAGAGACAGCAAAGUAGGUGGGGUUGCAUUCCUGAAAAAUCUAACAUUAAAAAAAAAUUAUUACUAAAUGAGGAUAACAUCGAAGCAUGGAGGACAAGCAACAGGUUUAAAUGUCAUGGCAGUAAACAGCGAGGACUGAACUCCCUAAUAAUAAUAAAUGAGUUCAUUACGAAUAGUUUCAAAGUUAAACGACGGAUUUAUUAACACAAAAAUUCAAAUUGCAUACAUGUACUGUACUACAACAUCUUUUAAGAUAAACAAUAAAGUUGAUAAAUAGCAUAUUAUAAAACAAAA
This 1040-nucleotide long non-coding RNA is filed under the name Homarus americanus (American lobster). RNAcentral's name for it is "uncharacterized LOC121864597". Lineage: Eukaryota; Metazoa; Arthropoda; Malacostraca; Decapoda; Nephropidae. The record is from RNAcentral.